This 495-nucleotide ribosomal RNA is filed under the name uncultured bacterium. Its description in RNAcentral is "partial 16S ribosomal RNA". It matches the Rfam family "Bacterial small subunit ribosomal RNA", at positions 29 to 506 of the family's 1533-position model. The record is from RNAcentral.
AUGAACGCUGGCGGCGUGCCUAAUACAUGCCAGUCGAGCGAACAGACGAGGAGCUUGCUCCUCUGACGUUAGCGGCGGACGGGUGAGUAACACGUGGAUAACCUACCUAUAAGACUGGGAUAACUUCGGGAAACCGGAGCUAAUACCGGAUAAUAUAUUGAACCGCAUGGUUCAAUAGUGAAAGACGGUUUUGCUGUCACUUAUAGAUGGAUCCGCGCCGCAUUAGCUAGUUGGUAAGGUAACGGCUUACCAAGGCAACGAUGCGUAGCCGACCUGAGAGGGUGAUCGGCCACACUGGAACUGAGACACGGUCCAGACUCCUACGGGAGGCAGCAGUAGGGAAUCUUCCGCAAUGGGCGAAAGCCUGACGGAGCAACGCCGCGUGAGUGAUGAAGGUCUUCGGAUCGUAAAACUCUGUUAUUAGGGAAGAACAAAUGUGUAAGUAACGAUGCACGUCUUGACGGGACCUAAUCAGAAAGCCACGGCUAACUACGU